RNAcentral lists this ribosomal RNA (776 nucleotides) under Salmonella enterica subsp. enterica serovar Infantis. Its description in RNAcentral is "partial 23S ribosomal RNA". It matches the Rfam family "Bacterial large subunit ribosomal RNA", at positions 2027 to 2802 of the family's 2925-position model. Lineage: Bacteria; Pseudomonadati; Pseudomonadota; Gammaproteobacteria; Enterobacterales; Enterobacteriaceae. The record is from RNAcentral.
CGAGACUCAGUGAAAUUGAACUCGCUGUGAAGAUGCAGUGUACCCGCGGCAAGACGGAAAGACCCCGUGAACCUUUACUAUAGCUUGACACUGAACAUUGAGCCUUGAUGUGUAGGAUAGGUGGGAGGCUUUGAAGCGUGGACGCCAGUCUGCGUGGAGCCGACCUUGAAAUACCACCCUUUAAUGUUUGAUGUUCUAACGUGGAUCCGUAAUCCGGGUUGCGGACAGUGUCUGGUGGGUAGUUUGACUGGGGCGGUCUCCUCCUAAAGAGUAACGGAGGAGCACGAAGGUUGGCUAAUCCUGGUCGGACAUCAGGAGGUUAGUGCAAUGGCAUAAGCCAGCUUGACUGCGAGCGUGACGGCGCGAGCAGGUGCGAAAGCAGGUCAUAGUGAUCCGGUGGUUCUGAAUGGAAGGGCCAUCGCUCAACGGAUAAAAGGUACUCCGGGGAUAACAGGCUGAUACCGCCCAAGAGUUCAUAUCGACGGCGGUGUUUGGCACCUCGAUGUCGGCUCAUCACAUCCUGGGGCUGAAGUAGGUCCCAAGGGUAUGGCUGUUCGCCAUUUAAAGUGGUACGCGAGCUGGGUUUAGAACGUCGUGAGACAGUUCGGUCCCUAUCUGCCGUGGGCGCUGGAGAACUGAGGGGGGCUGCUCCUAGUACGAGAGGACCGGAGUGGACGCAUCACUGGUGUUCGGGUUGUCAUGCCAAUGGCACUGCCCGGUAGCUAAAUGCGGAAGAGAUAAGUGCUGAAAGCAUCUAAGCACGAAACUUGCCCCGA